CUACCGCUUUUGGAUGGGCCCGCGCGCAUUAGCUAGUUGGUGGGGUAAAGGCUUACCAAGGCAAUGAUGCGUAGCCGAAUGAGAGGUUGAUCGGCCACAUUGGGACUGAGACACGGCCCAAACUCCUACGGGAGGCAGCAG
This 141-nucleotide ribosomal RNA is filed under the name uncultured bacterium. RNAcentral describes it as "partial 16S ribosomal RNA". It matches the Rfam family "Bacterial small subunit ribosomal RNA", at positions 212 to 354 of the family's 1533-position model. The record is from RNAcentral.